CAGUCGCCGCGGGAAUACGUAGGGUGCAAGCGUUAAUCGGAAUUACUGGGCGUAAAGCGUGCGCAGGCGGUUAUAUAAGACAGAUGUGAAAUCCCCGGGCUCAACCUGGGAACUGCAUUUGUGACUGUAUAGCUAGAGUACGGCAGAGGGGGAUGGAAUUCCGCGUGUAGCAGUGAAAUGCGUAGAUAUGCGGAGGAACACCGAUGGCGAAGGCAAUCCCCUGGGCCUGUACUGACGCUCAUGCACGAAAGCGUGGGGAGCAAAUAGGAUUAGAUACCCCUGUAGUCCCUGUCUCUUAUAA
RNAcentral lists this ribosomal RNA (301 nucleotides) under uncultured bacterium. RNAcentral describes it as "partial 16S ribosomal RNA". It matches the Rfam family "Bacterial small subunit ribosomal RNA", at positions 509 to 809 of the family's 1533-position model. The record is from RNAcentral.